AACGCGAAGAACCUUACCUGGGCUCGAAAUGUAGUGGACCGGGGUGGAAACAUCCCUUCCCCGCAAGGGGCUGCUAUAUAGGUGCUGCAUGGCUGUCGUCAGCUCGUGUCGUGAGAUGUUGGGUUAAGUCCCGCAACGAGCGCAACCCUUAUUGCCAGUUGCCAUCAUUAAGUUGGGCACUCUGGCGAAACCGCCCCGGAUAACGGGGAGGAAGGUGGGGAUGACGUCAAGUCCUCAUGGCCUUUAUGUCCAGGGCUACACACGUGCUACAAUGGGUGGUACAAACCGUCGCAAACCCGCAAGGGGGAGCUAAUCGGAAAAAGCCAUCCUCAGUUCGGAUUGGAGUCUGCAACUCGACUCCAUGAAGCUGGAAUCGCUAGUAAUCGCGGAUCAGCACGCCGCGGUGAAUACGUUCCCGGGCCUUGUACACACCGGAGUGC
This 440-nucleotide ribosomal RNA is filed under the name uncultured bacterium. RNAcentral describes it as "bacterial SSU rRNA". It matches the Rfam family "Bacterial small subunit ribosomal RNA", at positions 958 to 1398 of the family's 1533-position model. The record is from RNAcentral.